RNAcentral lists this ribosomal RNA (420 nucleotides) under bacterium. Its description in RNAcentral is "partial 16S ribosomal RNA". It matches the Rfam family "Bacterial small subunit ribosomal RNA", at positions 355 to 776 of the family's 1533-position model. The record is from RNAcentral.
GGGGGGAUAUUGCACAAUGGGCGAAAGCCUGAUGCAGCGACGCCGCGUGGGGGAUGAAGGCUUUCGGGUUGUAAACCUCUUUCGCUAUCGAACAAGGCCCGCUUAGGGUGGGUUGAGGGUAGGUGGAGAAGAAGCGCCGGCUAACUACGUGCCAGCAGCCGCGGUAAUACGUAGGGCGCGAGCGUUGUCCGGUAUUAUUGGGCGUAAAGGGCUUGUAGGCGGCUUGUGGCGCGUGCUGGGAAAACGCGGGGGUUAACGUGGCGCGUGCAGUGGGUGCGGGCAGGCUUGAGUGUGGUAGGGGGGACUGGAAUUCCAGGUGUAGCGGUGGAAUGCGCAGAUAUCUGGAAGAACACCGAUGGCGAAGGCAGGUCACUGGGCCGUUACUGACGCUGAGGAGCGAAAGCAUGGGUAGCGAAAAGG